UACGUAGGUUGCGCGCGUUGUCCGGAUUUACUGGGCGUAAAGCGCGCGCAGGCGGUUUCGAAAGUCCACGGUGAAAGCCCAGGGCUCAACCCUGGAAUUGCCUUUGAAACUGGUGAGCUUGAGUACGGGAGAGGUGAGUGGAAUUCCGAGUGUAGAGGUGAAAGUCGUAGAUAGUCGGAAGAACACCAGUGGCGAAGGCGGCUCACUGGCCCGUAUCUGACGCUCAGGCGCGACAGCGUGGGGAGCAAACAGG
Molecule: ribosomal RNA, 253 nt
Filed under: uncultured bacterium
Lineage: Bacteria
Description: partial 16S ribosomal RNA
Rfam family: Bacterial small subunit ribosomal RNA
Source: RNAcentral